Molecule: long non-coding RNA, 723 nt
Organism: Ictalurus furcatus (blue catfish)
Lineage: Eukaryota; Metazoa; Chordata; Actinopteri; Siluriformes; Ictaluridae
Exons: 3
Source: RefSeq, a predicted model, not a curated record
GUCUGGGGAGGUAAAAAUAAAUAAAUAAAUAAAUAAAAAAUAAACAAACAAAUAAAUAAAUAAAGACACAGCCAGAGGACGUUCAGGAUGGAAAGACACGCUGUAAGCACAAACCUUCACAGUGCUGAUUGUGUCGAUCCAGCUUCGCCCCUGGGAGGCGCUGUUGGCCUGGAACGAGUAGGCAGCCACAGCACUUUUGAACUCGUUGAGGUAGAUGAGAACAAAAGAACCUACGGGAAGAAUGACAGACGUAAGGAGAACGUUAAACAGGUGGGAUGAUGUGAGUAUUUCAGAAACUGCCGAUCUCGUGGGAUUUUUAAUGUUUUAAUUAACAGUCUCUAGACAAUCUUCAACCGUCCAGUCCAGUGAGUUCAAGCACAAGUUUGCAAGCAUGUACGUGCAUGUGUGUAUGUGUGUGUGUAUUAACCUGGGUCUUUGAGCUCCUUGCACACAACAUUAUGAAGAAGGAGGGGCUGCCGGAUCACUUUGACCUUCUCUAAACGCUUCACGGGCUUCGUGAUGAGCAGGAGGUCGGUGAACAAAAUGCAGUAGACUUCCAUCUGAAGAGCAGACGCGCAUUAGCAAGCGCCCCCUCGAGGUGGAGCUGUCUGGUCUCCUCCGACGACACGUCCAUCAUAGGAGCCGUCAGGUCGAUGCGGUUAAACGCUUUCAGGAUCUGAGCACGGAAGAAUAAUAACAAUUCACCUCUGUGUCGAACAUAUU